GCCUGAUUAGCUCAGUUGGUAGAGCAUCUGUUUUGUACUCAGAAUGUCGGGGGUUCGAAUCCUUCAUCAGGCU
Molecule: transfer RNA, 73 nt
Filed under: Bacteroidota bacterium
Lineage: Bacteria; Pseudomonadati; Bacteroidota
Description: tRNA-Thr
Rfam family: tRNA
About the family: Transfer RNA (tRNA) molecules are approximately 80 nucleotides in length.
Source: RNAcentral